ACCGCAGCUGCCUCUGAGGCCGGGCUCUCUUGAGCAAAAGCGUGGGGCAGCUCCACUGUGGCUCCCUGGACGCCCGGCCUGGACAGUGGGCCCUGCCAUUUGCAUAGUCCAGGCAGAAACCGGACCCCCGUCCACUUGGAAUCUCACAGAGGAGUCCCGCUCGGGAGCAGAUUGGACUGUUCCAUGCCUCCCUUCCAGGGCUGGGCUUCUCUGAUCCCAGGUGCUUCAUGAAGGUGCGGCAGCAAGCGAUGGCAGGGGCCGGGGGCCGGCAACUUUCAUUCCA
This 283-nucleotide long non-coding RNA is filed under the name Mustela putorius furo (domestic ferret). RNAcentral describes it as "lncRNA (ENSMPUG00000026202.1)". Lineage: Eukaryota; Metazoa; Chordata; Mammalia; Carnivora; Mustelidae. The record is from RNAcentral.